This 354-nucleotide ribosomal RNA is filed under the name Triticum aestivum (bread wheat). RNAcentral's name for it is "partial small subunit ribosomal RNA". Lineage: Eukaryota; Viridiplantae; Streptophyta; Magnoliopsida; Poales; Poaceae. The record is from RNAcentral.
AUGCCUCGGAUGCGCCCCCUUCUAUCCCGAGCUCCAGAUCGAUGGCUGCAGCGGCGAGAUGAAAUUGCAACACCUGGUACCGAGACCAUGCUGGGAUUUUCUGAUCAUGUCAGGAGCUUUGUAAAUCCUGUAUGGACGUCUUCUUUGAGUGGAAAUUAUUCGAAUACAACAUCACGGACAGGAAAACAGUUGGACAUCAGCCAUGAAAAGGUUCGAGGUCUUUCACGGAGUUUCCUACCAGCUAUUCAUCUAGAGCACUAUCCUUGUGAAAAUUUCUCAUUUUCUCCUCCACCUAUUGAUAGGAGACGCACUCGACAAGGGUCAUGUCCUGAUUGUUAUGUGCCUGUUGACUAG